AAAUUGAAGAGUUUGAUCAUGGCUCAGAUUGAACGCUGGCGGCAGGCCUAACACAUGCAAGUCGAGCGGUAGCACAGAGAGCUUGCUCUCGGGUGACGAGCGGCGGACGGGUGAGUAAUGUCUGGGAAACUGCCUGAUGGAGGGGGAUAACUACUGGAAACGGUAGCUAAUACCGCAUAAUGUCGCAAGACCAAAGUGGGGGACCUUCGGGCCUCAUGCCAUCAGAUGUGCCCAGAUGGGAUUAGCUAGUAGGUGGGGUAACGGCUCACCUAGGCGACGAUCCCUAGCUGGUCUGAGAGGAUGACCAGCCACACUGGAACUGAGACACGGUCCAGACUCCUACGGGAGGCAGCAGUGGGGAAUAUUGCACAAUGGGCGCAAGCCUGAUGCAGCCAUGCCGCGUGUGUGAAGAAGGCCUUCGGGUUGUAAAGCACUUUCAGCGGGGAGGAAGGCGGUGAGGUUAAUAACCUCACCGAUUGACGUUACCCGCAGAAGAAGCACCGGCUAACUCCGUGCCAGCAGCCGCGGUAAUACGGAGGGUGCAAGCGUUAAUCGGAAUUACUGGGCGUAAAGCGCACGCAGGCGGUCUGUCAAGUCGGAUGUGAAAUCCCCGGGCUCAACCUGGGAACUGCAUUCGAAACUGGCAGGCUAGAGUCUUGUAGAGGGGGGUAGAAUUCCAGGUGUAGCGGUGAAAUGCGUAGAGAUCUGGAGGAAUACCGGUGGCGAAGGCGGCCCCCUGGACAAAGACUGACGCUCAGGUGCGAAAGCGUGGGGAGCAAACAGGAUUAGAUACCCGGUAGUCCACGCCGUAAACGAUGUCGAUUUGGAGGUUGUGCCCUUGAGGCGUGGCUUCCGGAGCUAACGCGUUAAAUCGACCGCCUGGGGAGUACGGCCGCAAGGUUAAAACUCAAAUGAAUUGACGGGGGCCCGCACAAGCGGUGGAGCAUGUGGUUUAAUUCGAUGCAACGCGAAGAACCUUACCUGGUCUUGACAUCCACAGAACUUUCCAGAGAUGGAUUGGUGCCUUCGGGAACUGUGAGACAGGUGCUGCAUGGCUGUCGUCAGCUCGUGUUGUGAAAUGUUGGGUUAAGUCCCGCAACGAGCGCAACCCUUAUCCUUUGUUGCCAGCGGUCCGGCCGGGAACUCAAAGGAGACUGCCAGUGAUAAACUGGAGGAAGGUGGGGAUGACGUCAAGUCAUCAUGGCCCUUACGACCAGGGCUACACACGUGCUACAAUGGCAUAUACAAAGAGAAGCGACCUCGCGAGAGCAAGCGGACCUCAUAAAGUAUGUCGUAGUCCGGAUUGGAGUCUGCAACUCGACUCCAUGAAGUCGGAAUCGCUAGUAAUCGUAGAUCAGAAUGCUACGGUGAAUACGUUCCCGGGCCUUGUACACACCGCCCGUCACACCAUGGGAGUGGGUUGCAAAAGAAGUAGGUAGCUUAACCUUCGGGAGGGCGCUUACCACUUUGUGAUUCAUGACUGGGGUGAAGUCGUAACAAGGUAACCGUAGGGGAACCUGCGGUUGGAUCACCUCCUUACCUUAAAGAA
RNAcentral lists this ribosomal RNA (1549 nucleotides) under Klebsiella pneumoniae. RNAcentral's name for it is "bacterial SSU rRNA". It matches the Rfam family "Bacterial small subunit ribosomal RNA". Lineage: Bacteria; Pseudomonadati; Pseudomonadota; Gammaproteobacteria; Enterobacterales; Enterobacteriaceae. The record is from RNAcentral.